RNAcentral lists this non-coding RNA (217 nucleotides) under Thioclava dalianensis. The record is from RNAcentral. Lineage: Bacteria; Pseudomonadati; Pseudomonadota; Alphaproteobacteria; Rhodobacterales; Paracoccaceae.
CAACACAAAGGCGUGUUCGGUCCCGGAGCGCCCCUGCCAAAGGGUGUGACGGGCGAAAAAGGGAAUACGGUGCGGCGCGCAAGGUGCCAAAUCCGUGGCUGCCCCCGCAACUGUGAGCGGUGAGCGACGCUGAUCGAUGCCACUGGGACAAAUCCCGGGAAGGCCAGCCAAGCUACGACCCGUGAGCCAGGAGACCUGCCGCACACAUGCGCCCGAU